UACAGAGGGGGCCAGCGUUAUUCGGAAUUAUUGGGCGUAAAGGGCGCGUAGGCGGCCUUGCGUGUCUUUCGUGAAAUCCCUCGGCUUAACUGAGGACGUGCGGAAGAAACUGCAGGGCUCGAGUCCGGGAGAGGGGGGUGGAAUUCCCAGUGUAGCGGUGAAACGCGUAGAUAUUGGGAGGAACACCGGUGGCGAAGGCGGCCCCCUGGACCGGUACUGACGCUGAGGCGCGAAAGCGUGGGGAG
RNAcentral lists this ribosomal RNA (245 nucleotides) under uncultured bacterium. RNAcentral's name for it is "partial 16S ribosomal RNA". It matches the Rfam family "Bacterial small subunit ribosomal RNA", at positions 524 to 768 of the family's 1533-position model. The record is from RNAcentral.